UACGAGUACCCCAAGCGUUAUCCGGAAUCAUUGGGCGUAAAGGGUGUGUAGGUGGCGAUGUUAGUCUUCUGUCAAAAUCUUGGGCUUAACCCAAGUCUUGCAGAGGAAACGGCAUUGCUCGAGGAUGCGAGAGGUGAAUGGAACUCAUGGAGUAGGGGUAAUAUCCGUUGAUAUCAUGGGGAACACCAAAAGCGAAGGCAAUUCACUGGCGCAUUCCUGACACUGAAACACGAAAGCGUGGGUAGCGAAUGGG
RNAcentral lists this ribosomal RNA (253 nucleotides) under uncultured bacterium. Its description in RNAcentral is "partial 16S ribosomal RNA". It matches the Rfam family "Bacterial small subunit ribosomal RNA", at positions 524 to 776 of the family's 1533-position model. The record is from RNAcentral.